Small nucleolar RNA from Bison bison bison, 85 nucleotides. Lineage: Eukaryota; Metazoa; Chordata; Mammalia; Artiodactyla; Bovidae. The record is from Ensembl.
GAGGCCAGUGAUGAGGACUUUUCCCACUCAUGUUCAAGUUUCCCGCUCAUGAGAUGAGUCCACAGGCACUGCCAUCUGUGGCCAC